UACGAAGGGGGCUAGCGUUGUUCGGAAUUACUGGGCGUAAAGGGCGCGUAGGCGGCUGUUCAAGUCGGGGGUGAAAGCCUGUGGCUCAACCACAGAAUGGCCUUCGAUACUGGACGGCUCGAGACCGGAAGAGGUCAGUGGAACUGCGAGUGUAGAGGUGAAAUUCGUAGAUAUUCGCAAGAACACCAGUGGCGAAGGCGGCUGACUGGUCCGGUUCUGACGCUGAGGCGCGAAAGCGUGGGGAGCAAACAGG
RNAcentral lists this ribosomal RNA (253 nucleotides) under uncultured bacterium. Its description in RNAcentral is "partial 16S ribosomal RNA". It matches the Rfam family "Bacterial small subunit ribosomal RNA", at positions 524 to 776 of the family's 1533-position model. The record is from RNAcentral.